Molecule: long non-coding RNA, 718 nt
Filed under: Pan troglodytes (chimpanzee)
Lineage: Eukaryota; Metazoa; Chordata; Mammalia; Primates; Hominidae
Description: long non-coding RNA NONPTRT012042
Source: RNAcentral
GGAAAAGGAAAAAGCAGAAAGCCUUACCAAGAACCUUCUCCCCUACUUCUCUACAGAGUAAAAGACAAGCUUCUGUGGAAAGGGCAACAAACACUAUCACCCUCAGACCAGAGGUGAACAUCCUUUGCAGCAAGGUGAAAGAGACACAAAACACCCUCUGCCCUUGAAGGAGAGACAGGAGACGCCUCUGUUGGCUUCUCUGCUGCUUAACAGAAGUCAUGAGAUGCCUGGACUAAAUGGUUUUCCUGGGAACUCUGACUCUGGCCACAAGAUGAAGACUGACAAAUUUCCUUUCUCUGUUUAUGGAGGGAGACUUCACAACAUUCACUGAAAGAGGAGCAAAGGACCUGGUUUUUGCCAUGACUGGCUUUGGCCCCGUGAAUGAAUGUUUUUCUGGCAUUGGAAAGCGGAUUGCAAAGAGAGCAGAACCACAAAUGGGCUAUGAGGAAAUGUGUUCAAUGAAGAAAACAAAAUCUCUGACAAGAUCCCACAUAAGACAACAUCUCAGCAUCUUCUGUGAUUUGUGAACCCAAGUAAAGCACUUCUUAGAGUUAUCUGGCACAUUCGCAACUAAUAGCUUUCCAUGAAUAAAUACUGUGGCAACCACGUUAACUGUACAAAAACAAAUUGCUUAUUUCUCAUAUCCAUGCUGGAAGAUUAUCUGGCUGGCCUUAUCAGCUGUGAUGUCAGGAAUGUCAGCCAGUUAUCCUGUGGUGCA